AUGGUGCGGACGACGGUGCAGGAGCUGGCGGCGGCCGUCGAGGAGCCGCCGCGGCAGUACGUGGUGCACGAGCGAGACCAAGACCACCUGCUGGCCGCCGACGAGAUGCCGGACCCCAUCCCUCUCAUCGACCUUGGCCGGCUCACGGCCGCCGACGAGGCCCACAAGCUCCGGGAGGCCCUACAGACCUGGGGCCUCUUCCUGGUCACCAACCAUGGAAUUGAGGAGUCUCUUAUGGACGCCAUGAUGAGCGCGUCGAGGGACUUCUUCCGGCAGCCGUCUGAAGAAAAGCACAAAUGUAGCAACCUGAAAGAUGGCGGCAGGCACUUGGAGGUGGAAGGCUAUGGAAAUGACAAAGUGGUAACCCCCCAGGAUCAGGGCCUCAGCUGGAACGACCGGUUGCAUUUGAGAGUGGAGCCGGAAGAUGAGAGGAAUUUUGCCAAGUGGCCCACCCACCCGGAAUCUUUCAGGGAUGUGCUACUUGAGUACGCAACAAGAACCAAGAGAAUAAGAGAUCUUAUCUUGCGAUCAAUAGCCAAGAUCCUGGACCUUGAUGAGGAUUACUUCGUCAACCAAAUAUCAAACAAGGCUCGUGGGUUUGCUAGGUUCAACUACUACCCCCCAUGUCCGAGACCUGACCUAGUUUUGGGCAUGAGGCCUCACUCUGAUGUUGGUCUCCUUACCAUCCUUUCUGUCGACCACGACGUCGGUGGCUUGCAAGUUCAGAGAGAUGGGAAAUGGUAUAAUGUUCCAGCCAAGCCUUAUACUUUGGUGAUUAACUUAGCUGACUGCAUGGAGAUAAUGUGCAACGGAAUCUUCAUGAGCCCAGUUCAUAGGGUGGUGACGAAUGCCAAGAAGGAGAGACUUUCACUGGGUGUGUUUUAUGUUGUGGAUGGCGAGAUGGUGCUGGAGCCUGCGCCUGGUUUGCUGGAUGACGAGCGACCACCAAGAUAUGGGAAAUUCAAGGCCAAUGAUUUCGGUUUUUCUUUCGACUGA
Molecule: ribosomal RNA, 996 nt
Filed under: Triticum aestivum (bread wheat)
Lineage: Eukaryota; Viridiplantae; Streptophyta; Magnoliopsida; Poales; Poaceae
Description: partial small subunit ribosomal RNA
Source: RNAcentral